RNAcentral lists this ribosomal RNA (468 nucleotides) under uncultured bacterium. RNAcentral's name for it is "partial 16S ribosomal RNA". It matches the Rfam family "Bacterial small subunit ribosomal RNA", at positions 28 to 507 of the family's 1533-position model. The record is from RNAcentral.
GACGAACGCUGGCGGCGUGCUUAACACAUGCAAGUCGAACGGAAAGGCCCUGCUUUUGUGGGGUGCUCGAGUGGCGAACGGGUGAGUAACACGUGAGUAACCUACCCUUGACUUUGGGAUAACUUCAGGAAACUGGGGCUAAUACCGGAUAGGAGCUCCUGCUGCAUGGUGGGGGUUGGAAAGUUUCGGCGGUUGGGGAUGGACUCGCGGCUUAUCAGCUUGUUGGUGGGGUAGUGGCUUACCAAGGCUUUGACGGGUAGCCGGCCUGAGAGGGUGACCGGCCACAUUGGGACUGAGAUACGGCCCAGACUCCUACGGGAGGCAGCAGUGGGGAAUAUUGCACAAUGGGCGGAAGCCUGAUACAGCAACGCCGCGUGCGGGAUGACGGCCUUCGGGUUGUAAACCGCUUUCGCCUGUGACGAAGCGUGAGUGACGGUAAUGGGUAAAGAAGCACCGGCUAACUACGUG